AAUAGAUACCCUGGUAGUCCACGCCGUAAACGAUGAGUGCUAAGUGUUAGAGGGUUUCCGCCCUUUAGUGCUGCAGCAAACGCAUUAAGCACUCCGCCUGGGGAGUACGGCCGCAAGGCUGAAACUCAAAGGAAUUGACGGGGGCCCGCACAAGCGGUGGAGCAUGUGGUUUAAUUCGAAGCAACGCGAGGAACCUUACCAGGUCUUGACAUCCUCUGACACUCCUAGAGAUAGGACGUUCCCCUUCGGGGGACAGAGUGACAGGUGGUGCAUGGUUGUCGUCAGCUCGUGUCGUGAGAUGUUGGGUUAAGUCCCGCAACGAGCGCAACCCUUGAUCUUAGUUGCCAGCAUUCAGUUGGGCACUCUAAGGUGACUGCCGGUGACAAACCGGAGGAAGGUGGGGAUGACGUCAAAUCAUCAUGCCCCUUAUGACCUGGGCUACACGCGUGCUACAAUGGAUGGUACAAAGGGCAGCAAAACCGCGAGGUCGAGCAAAUCCCAUAAAACCAUUCUCAGUUCGGAUUGU
Molecule: ribosomal RNA, 526 nt
Filed under: uncultured bacterium
Lineage: Bacteria
Description: bacterial SSU rRNA
Rfam family: Bacterial small subunit ribosomal RNA
Source: RNAcentral